RNAcentral lists this ribosomal RNA (582 nucleotides) under uncultured ciliate. RNAcentral describes it as "SSU rRNA". It matches the Rfam family "Eukaryotic small subunit ribosomal RNA", at positions 1180 to 1811 of the family's 1831-position model. The record is from RNAcentral. Lineage: Eukaryota; Ciliophora.
AGUCUGCGGCUUAUUUGACUCAACACUGGGAAACUCAUCAGGGCAAGAAGAUUUUAGGAUUGACAGAUUGAGAGUUCUUUCUUGAUUGGUCUAGUGGUGGUGCAUGGCCGUUCUUAGUUGGUGGAGUGAUUUGUCUGGUUAAUUCCGUUAACGAACGAGACCUUAACCUGCUAACUAGUACUUCGAUGACAAAUCGAUGUUACUUCUUAGAGGGACUAUGUGAUGUAAUCACAUGGAAGUUUGAGGCAAUAACAGGUCUGUGAUGCCCUUAGAUGUCCUGAGCUGCACGCGUACUACAAUGGUGCUUUCAACGAGCUUUUCCUGAUCCGAAAGGAUUUGGGUAAUCUUUUUAGUGAGCACCGUGCUUGGGAUAGAUCUUUGUAAUUAUGGAUCUUGAACUAGGAAUUCCUAGUAAGCGCUGGUCAUCAGCCAGUGCUGAUUACGUCCCUGCAAAAUGUACACACCGCCCGUCGCUAUUACCGAUUGAGUGCUAAGGUGAACCUUCUCGAUAGUGCAAACUAAAAAUUAAGUAAACCUUAGUACUUAGAGGAAAUAAAAGUCGUAACAAGGUUUCCGUAGGUG